CAGUAGCCGCGGUAAUACGUAGGUGGCAAGCGUUGUUCGGAAUUAUUGGGCGUAAAGGGCUCGCAGGCGGUUUCUUAAGUCUGAUGUGAAAGCCCCCGGCUCAACCGGGGAGGGUCAUUGGAAACUGGGAAACUUGAGUGCAGAAGAGGAGAGUGGAACUCCACGUGUAGCGGUGAAAUGCGUAGAGAUGUGGAGGAACACCAGUGGCGAAGGCGACUCUCUGGUCUGUAACUGACGCUGAGGAGCGAAAGCGUGGGGAGCGAACAGGAUUAGAUACCCGCGUAGUCCCUGUCUCUUAUAC
Molecule: ribosomal RNA, 301 nt
Filed under: uncultured bacterium
Lineage: Bacteria
Description: partial 16S ribosomal RNA
Rfam family: Bacterial small subunit ribosomal RNA
Source: RNAcentral